UCUGACGUGCAAAUCGAUCGUCAAAUUUGGGUAUAGGGGCGAAAGACUAAUCGAACCAUCUAGUAGCUGGUUCCCUCCGAAGUUUCCCUCAGGAUAGCUGGAGCCCGAACUAUGUGUGUAGUUUUAUCAGGUAAAGCGAAUGAUUAGAGGUAUUGGGGUUGAAAUGACCUCAACCUAUUCUCAAACUUUAAAUGGGUAAGAGGUGUAGCUUGCUUAAGUGAAGUUACACGAUUGAUUUCUCGUGGAAUACAGGGGCUCUUAGUGGGCCAUUUUUGGUAAGCAGAACUGGCGAUGCGGGAUGAACCGAACGCUGGGUUAAGGUGCCCAAGUCAACGCUCAUGAGAUCCCAUGAAAGGUGUUGGUUGAUACAGACAGCAGGACGGUGGCCAUGGAAGUCGGAAUCCGCUAAGGAGUGUGUAACAACUCACCUGCCGAAUCAACUAGCCCUGAAAAUGGAUGGCGCUCAAGCGUUGCACCUAUCCCCGGCCGCCGUGUGGAGAUGGCCAGUGCUGGUGACACGGCGUGUAGGAGGGCGCAGGGCUGUGUGUUGGUAUGCUGUGCAGGCUGGUGCGUGAGCCCGGCUGAAGCUGGCCCUGGUGCAGAUCUUGGUGGUAGUAGCAAUUAUUCAAAUGAGAACUUUGAAGGCCGAAGUGGAGAAGGGUUCCACGUGAACAGCAUUUGGACGUGGGUGAGUCGGUCCUAAGAGAUGGGCGAAAGCCUGGUUAGUAAGGGUGCAGAUGUGCUGCCUCUCAGGGGGUAGUAUGUCCGGUUGGUUCUUCGGGGCCACGGUGGCACCAGCUCUCGAAAGGGUAUCGGGUUAAUAUUCCCGAACCAGACACCUGGAUGCUGCUCGUGGUGGAGCACGGCAACGUAUAUGUGUGUAUACUCGGCGACGCUUGCGAUAGCCCUGGGAAGAGUUGUCUUUUCUUCUUAACCGUACCAACCGUGUGCACAGCCCUGGAAGCAGUUUACCUUGAGAGAGGGCUGGAGGUCGGGUAAAGCGCUGCACUUAUUGCAGCGUCCAGUGCGCUGUCGAGAGCCCCUGAAAAGCUGAGUCAGGACUGGACCAUGUUAGUCUCGUGUCUGGCCGUAC
This 1093-nucleotide ribosomal RNA is filed under the name Saccocalyx pedunculatus. RNAcentral describes it as "eukaryotic LSU rRNA". It matches the Rfam family "Eukaryotic large subunit ribosomal RNA", at positions 885 to 1847 of the family's 3401-position model. The record is from RNAcentral. Lineage: Eukaryota; Metazoa; Porifera; Hexactinellida; Lyssacinosida; Euplectellidae.